Molecule: ribosomal RNA, 254 nt
Filed under: uncultured bacterium
Lineage: Bacteria
Description: partial 16S ribosomal RNA
Rfam family: Bacterial small subunit ribosomal RNA
Source: RNAcentral
CACGUAGGGGGCGAGCGUUGUCCGGAUUUAUUGGGCGUAAAGAGCUCGUAGGCGGUUUCGUAAGUCGGGUGUGAAAACUCCAGGCUCAACCUGGAGACGCCACCCGAUACUGCGAUGACUAGAGUCCGGUAGGGGAGUGUGGAAUUCCUGGUGUAGCGGUGAAAUGCGCAGAUAUCAGGAGGAACACCAACGGCGAAGGCAGCACUCUGGGCCGGAACUGACGCUGAGGAGCGAAAGCGUGGGUAGCGAACAGG